This is a long non-coding RNA of Haplochromis burtoni (Burton's mouthbrooder), 95 nucleotides long. RefSeq lists it as uncharacterized. Lineage: Eukaryota; Metazoa; Chordata; Actinopteri; Cichliformes; Cichlidae. The record is from RefSeq and is a predicted model, not a curated record. The transcript has 2 exons.
GCACUACAGGACAGGACUGCUGCUUUUAGCUCUUUGCUGGGCAGGUACUGAUAGUCAGACGCUGACAGAAUCUGAACCAGUCAUUAAAAGGCCAG